This 166-nucleotide unclassified non-coding RNA is filed under the name uncultured Orbiliales. RNAcentral's name for it is "sequence contains ITS2". The record is from RNAcentral. Lineage: Eukaryota; Fungi; Ascomycota; Orbiliomycetes; Orbiliales.
CACACCUCCUUUGGGAUUUUUCUCACUGGGUCUUGGGACGCGGUUUCGCUUCGGCGGACCCCUCCCUAAUGUGGCACGCUUGCGGGCCCCCGGCCAGAUGUCAACGUAGUAAAUUUCAAACUCGUUCCCAGCUGUCGAAGGGCCUCGCCUGAUUCAAACUCUCAUG